CGAAGACAUCGAUUCAUAAUACACUUCUUGAGAACCCCUAAUUUCCUUUCCCUGUUGGUGUUUAAUUGCAACCCUUAAAGUUGUAUGCAUGAAUCUAGGCGUAAUGUCCAUUGUAAGGACAUGAGCAUUGCGUGUUUUGGUGUUGUCCUACUGUUGCUAUUUGGAAGAAUGAAUGGGGAACUAUGUUUUAUGUUUUGGAAAAACUGGAAUCUUUGAAGGUGACGCGAAGGAAUGCCAUGUCAUCAUAUGGUGAGGACGGAUGCAGCGACUACUCUGUGUGAAGCUCAUAAGACCGUGGACAGGCUCCAGAUGCAGAGAGGGACGGCGUGCUCCGACUGUCACAUACAAUUUGACUCGAUGGAGGAGCCCCUUGUAGGCCCAAAGCCAGAGGGGAGGCCCCUGAAGGGCCAUCACCGAUGGAAGACAGACAAACAGGUCUGUGAGGUGGAGGACUUCAGGAGAAGGCUCAAGUACUUCUUCAUGAAUCCCUGUGAGAAAUACAGAGCCAGGGGCCGUAAACCAUGGAAACUAACAUUACAAAUUCUGAAAAUUGCAAUUAUCACAAUCCAGUUGGUCUCUUUUGGCCUGAGCAACGAAAUGAUGGUCAGCUUCAAAGAGGAAAGCCUGCUGACAUUCAAAAAUCUGUUUCUCAAAGGAUACAACGAUCAACAUCGUGGAAUACACACACUUUACACUAAAACAGACGUCUAUGACCAUAUUCACUAUGCCAUUGAUAGGUACAUGAAUCUUGAGAAUCUCACAGUAGGAAAUCAUGCCUAUGAGAGGGUGGAUGGCCUGUACACUCCUCUAUCUCUGUGUAAAGAGUUCUACAGGAACAGCAGCAUCUUCCCAGGCAAUGAGACCUUUGACAUUGAUCCACAUGUGGAAAAAGUUUGUAUAGCCAUAUAUCCUACAAUUGAUACUGAAAGUUGGCCAAGACGUCUGACCUUCUCUAUAGAUUUCAAAAGGCUGCUGUCAGUAAACAUCUACCUCAAACUGAGAGCCAUCAAUCUGCAGACUGUGCGGCACAAUGAACUGCCGGACUGUUAUCUGUUCAAUAUAACGAUCAUAUUUAACAACCACGCCCACAGCGGAAGAAUAAAAACUGAAAUAAUCAAUGAUGUUGGAAUUUACGAAUGCAAAGACUGGAAUGUAGCAGACACUUCUGGGAAGAAUGACUACAUGCUCUUAAUGCUGGAUUCUCUGGUCAUCAUUGCCUGCAUCACCUCGCUCAUCCUCUGCUCACGCUCCGUUAAAAAUGGCAUCCAACUCCAGUUUGAGUAUAAUACGUUCUUCCAAACCUACUUCAGUAAGCCUGUGCCCUGGGCAGAUCGCAUGGAGUUUGUAAAUGGAUGGUACAUCCUCAUCAUUGUGAGUGAUACCCUUACCAUUGCAGGGUCCAUCCUGAAAAUAGGAAUUCAGACCAAGUUCCUGACCAACUAUGACGUGUGCAGUAUUUUGCUCGGGACCGCCACCAUGCUGGUCUGGGUCGGGGUCAUUCGCUACCUCGGUUUCUUCAAGAAGUACAACAUCCUCAUCCUGACCCUGAGAGCAGCCUUCCCCAACGUGAUCCGCUUCUGCUGCUGCGCCGCCAUGAUUUACCUGGGAUACUGUUUCUGUGGCUGGAUCGUGCUUGGCCCCUACCAUGACAAGUUCCGGACCUUGGACAAGGUGACAGAGUGUCUCUUCUCGCUCAUCAACGGGGACGACAUGUACGCUACCUUCAAAGCCAUGAGGGACAAGACGUACCUGGUGUGGCUGUUCAGCCGGGUCUACCUCUACUCAUUCAUCUCCCUCUUCAUCUACAUGGUGCUCAGCCUCUUCAUCGCCCUCAUCACCGACACCUAUGAAACCAUCAAGAGUUGCCAAGAAGACAAGGUGCCAGUGUCUGAGCUCCAGGCCUUUAUAGCAGAAUGCAGAGACCAUCCUGAAUCCGGGCGCUAUCUGACUGAUAACCAGACCGCUUCCUGCUGUGGCUGCUUUGGAUGAACUGUACUCCGAGGCCCUUCUCAGAGAUAACAAUUAUUGUAUUUGCCUUGGUUCAAGCAAGUUGUCGUCAUCAAAUAGCAAACACAUACCCGUUGCCUAACACUUUUUAACUAAACAUUUGAUUUGUGUUACACAAAUGAUCAAUUGUCAUUGUUAGCUAUAAGAACGGUGCUAGAUAAUCUUUGGAUAAAUUAUGAGCAGUAUGUAUUAUUAUGUAUAUAUUAUUAGAUAUGUUCAUGACAAUUUAUAUUGAUGACCAAUAGGCGUUUGUGUAUUUUUUUAGUAGUGAUGAAAGUUACGUAAAGAAGUGGCAUAUUUUACUAGCACAAAUUUGCACAAAUAAAACUGACGUUCGGGCCAGGCAAGUCGCAAAAGACUUGAGGCAGUGUCAGUAAAGUCGAGAACAACCUGUGUGUCUUUGUCCCAUAACGUAACACCUGAGGGCGCACCACAUUUGCAUAAUCCUCUCUCGGUUGGUUCGCAUCCAAUGUGCUGUUCAGAUAUUGGUUGCUUGACAACAUGGCCUCCAAUGACAGAAGUGUUUAGAUGGACGCCGACACGGGAAUACACUUAAAAACAAUCAGCGCUCUGCACCUUCAUGAUGUUUGCCGAACGAGUUAAGGGCUCUGAUCCAGCGAGUGCCUCCAAUCUGCUGCAUAGCUCUUAAUCCAUCCCCAAGAUCAGACUUAACUGAUGACCGCGCCUGUGUCCUACACUUCUUUGAUAUGGGAGACUGGUCGAUGACUUCACCAUUAGGUGUAUCUAUGGAGAACUCUGAGAUCUCCAGUAUAUCACGGGUGACCCUCUCCUCGUCCAGACAAAACCACGAUUCACUGUAUUCCUCCUCUCUGCCGCUGUCCAAAAGCUCACACAAUGUCCUGAGUGCCUUCUGCAUCGAGGAGAACGUGCCACAAUGCAUUUUAUACAUCAACCAGGAGCUGAGUUCGUUAGGCCUCGCCUCCAUGUGCAUCGCAACGCCAGUGGAGGCCACGCUGAACUCCGUGCCCGCCCUGAACGCCAUGUACGAGCUGCUGCAGGCGCAACGCCGCAGCCAGCGCUCCCUGGAGGCGCUUGAACAGGAUCUGCUGAGGACCUCCAGCACCCUGGAGCACCUGCAGACCGGCAACUACAGGCUCAAGGAUCAGUUGGAACUACUG
This is an RNA transcript of Gadus morhua (Atlantic cod), 3146 nucleotides long. It is a transcript of the gene named synovial sarcoma, X breakpoint 2 interacting protein a, with no coding region annotated. Lineage: Eukaryota; Metazoa; Chordata; Actinopteri; Gadiformes; Gadidae. The record is from RefSeq and is a predicted model, not a curated record. The transcript has 17 exons.